CAAGGGGUGACUCUUAUUUCAUGGGAUUAUAUUGCAAAUCGACGAGAUUGAUUUCAGGAGAGAAAAGUUCACUCCCAAGAUUGAAUGGUGUAGCUCAAGAUGGGAUGAAUUUGCGUCAAUCACUCCAAUUCGAGCUUGAUCUCUUAGCCCCACAACUCCCUUUUGAUGAUCAUGUUGUAAAGACUCAGUCGUUGGCUCAAUCUUGGAAAACCCAAAUCCAAAGGUAUAAGUAAUCAAUUUGAUGAGCCCCCAUAGUAGACGAGUGUCACGACCCAAAUCGGAGGGCCGCAACAGGCACCCGGUACUUUACUCUACCGAGUACUAAUGUAACGUAUCUUUCUUAUCAUACCAUAAUGGGUAAAUGGUCCGGAAGGGCCGUCAUGGUAUAACCAGAAUAAAACAUAAGGGAAUACUUGUCAUAGUACGACCCAAUAUGUAAUACAAACUUAUACAUGUGACAUACGGUGCUACAAAACCAAAAUGAACACUUGUACACUGAACAUAGGCCGACAAGGCCAUAUAAUCUUUCAUAUA
Long non-coding RNA from Nicotiana tabacum (common tobacco), 534 nucleotides. RefSeq lists it as uncharacterized. The record is from RefSeq and is a predicted model, not a curated record. NCBI's taxonomy places the organism in Eukaryota, Viridiplantae, Streptophyta, Magnoliopsida, Solanales, Solanaceae.